Molecule: ribosomal RNA, 253 nt
Filed under: uncultured bacterium
Lineage: Bacteria
Description: partial 16S ribosomal RNA
Rfam family: Bacterial small subunit ribosomal RNA
Source: RNAcentral
UACGUAGGGGGCAAGCGUUGUCCGGAAUCAUUGGGCGUAAAGCGCGUGUAGGCGGCCCGGUAAGUCCGCUGUGAAAGUCCAGGGCUCAACCCUGGAAUGCCGGUGGAAACUAUCUGGCUAGAGUCCGGAAGAGGAGAAUGGAAUUCCUGGUGUAGCGGUGAAAUGCGCAGAUAUCAGGGAGAACACCCGUGGCGAAGGCGGUUCUCUGGGACGGUACUGACGCUGAGACGCGAAAGCGUGGGGAGCGAACAGG